GGAUCUGAGUCAUCAUGUACCUACCAUGUCAACUAAUGAAUGAAGACAUGGAAAAAAACAAGUGAUAUGACUGUUAAACAUGAAACUCAAAACUCAAGCUCAGAUGCGUUCACUCUCUCCCUCGAAAUUGGGUUCAUGCUUUGUUCUCCCUCCGUUGUGCUGGAGGCUGUCUCUAUCGAAUGAGGCUCCACAAAAUCUAAUUUGACAUCAGCAUCUGAACCUAAAUUCCAAUCUUAGGCCAAAUGCUAAAACAAAACCAUCUGAUUCCAACAGAUAAGUCUGCAUCGAAGGUGACAACCGAAGAACCCUAGCUUGAUGAAAUCAAAAUUAAAUGGCGCCCGUUAGGAAUCAAAGCACCGGGGAUUAGAGAUUUGGUUCCCCUAACCUCUAAUCACAUCAUGGUAACAAGAAUCAAAACAAACAAUGGAGAAAAUUGUGAACUCAUCGGUGAAACACGCGCAGUGAUCAACAGAAAUCCAGGUUAAAAUGCAAGUUCUGUUUUGCUGACUUGAAAUGUUAGAUGAAAUUCUAAAAUGUAAUAUGUUUAGACUUAAAUGCAAUUCAAAUUAAAAUGCAAGGAUCUUGGUAUGGAGUGCGUUGUUGAACUGCUUUGGUUUAUGCAAGGAUGCUUUAAUUUUGCUUGCUCGAGUUUGGACAUGCUUUGGCUGUUGUUAUCUGUUUUUGUGAAGUGCAUUGGCUAUGGGUUUGUGGGAUGGCUAGGAUGGAUCAUGGUAGGCUCUCAUGUGUGGAAUUGGAUCAUUUUGCAUUUGAUCAUGGUUUUUAUAGACUUCGCUAAGAUGAUUAAACUAGUUAGGGACUUGUUAUUGUAGUGCAUUGAAAUGUUCCAAUUUUGGAGUUAGAUGUGUAAUGUAUGAUGCUACCAUAAUUUUGUGGUUUAGGGAAAUGGUAUUGUAAUGUCAUGCGAUGGAUUUGUGAUUUUCUUUGUAUUUGAAAAUGUUUGAAUUGUAUGGCAAUUGGUUUAUGUUUUGGAUUACUUGGAAUAAUGGAUUGGUUAUGUAAAGUUUGUAUUGAAAUGGACCAUCAUUAUUGUAGUGAGUUAA
Lathyrus oleraceus (garden pea) is the source of this 1061-nucleotide long non-coding RNA. RefSeq lists it as uncharacterized. The record is from RefSeq and is a predicted model, not a curated record. Lineage: Eukaryota; Viridiplantae; Streptophyta; Magnoliopsida; Fabales; Fabaceae. The transcript has 2 exons.